Molecule: long non-coding RNA, 1026 nt
Filed under: Callithrix jacchus (white-tufted-ear marmoset)
Lineage: Eukaryota; Metazoa; Chordata; Mammalia; Primates; Cebidae
Description: lncRNA (ENSCJAG00000070507.1)
Source: RNAcentral
UUGUGAUCCUGGAGAAAGAUAUUUCAUAUCAGGCAUUUUUAAAAUAACCAUACCCUAAUCUUGCCUUCAAGGUUUCACAAUUGCUAUUUCCCACACUGCUGAUCUCAUUCUUAACUGGACACCUUCAGCCUAUUUCCCAAAGCCAAAGAGGCAGUAUGAGGAUUCAAGUCAAGAACGUCUCUUAUUAUCUUUCACCUGAACUUCCUCAACAUUGGAUCUUGGGAAGGCUGCUGUGCAAGCUGCUCUGCCUCUUGGGCCAUGUGACCCAGCAGAUCCAAUGGUGCUUGAGGUGUCAGUGGCAGAGAAGAAUGCUGUUUGGAGCCUUUGGCAGCCCCCAUAGGUGAAUCACAGCAAAGGACUUUACAAUUUUGGAGCAAGGCCCUGCCAUCUUUGUCAGAUAACUACUCUCCUUUCGAGAGACAGCUCUUGGACUGUUAAUGGGCUUUGGGGGAAACUGAACAUUUGACUGUGGGUCAUCAAGUCACCAUGUGACCUGAACUGCCUAUCAUGACCUGAGUGCUUUCUGACCCAUCUAGCCACAAAGUGGGUUGUACAAAGAAGCAUUCCAUCAUCAAAUGGAAGUGGUAUAUAUGUGACUGGGUUUGAGCAGGUUCUGAAGUACAUAAGGCACAAGUAAGUUAUACUGAAAUGCCCAUGGUCUCCACUUCUAUCACCCUGCCUUUUCUCCCUCAGCCCACACUGAUGGCCUCAGGGGAAAUCCCCUAUGAUCUGGUGACAGAGGAAGAGAAGACCAGGGCCUGAUUACAGAUAGUUCUGCACAAUAUGCAGGCAUCACCUAAAAGUGGACAGCUACAGCCCCUUUCUAGGGCAUACCUGAAGGACAGCGGUGAAGGGAAAUCUUCCCAGUGGGCUGAACUUCCAGCAAUGCACCUGGUUGUGCACUUUGCAUGGAAGGAGAAAUGGCCAGAUUUGUGAUUAUACACUGAUUCAUGGGCUGUAGCAAAUAGUUUGGCUGGAUGGUCAGGGACAUGGAAGAAGGAUGAUUGGAAAAUUUGAGACAAAAAA